GCAAGUUGCCAGCUUAGUUUGGAGAGUUGCACACAGUCUGGUGGAUAAGAGCUCCCUAUAUCUGCAAAAUCACCUCAGAGAUGGCAUUCUGGACAGGGACUCAGGGACAGGCAACCCAACAUGGCAAAUUUGGAACUGUUCCAGGACGAUACUUUUCACAACCCUAUCAAGAAAAGAGGCAUGCUGCAGAUUAUCAUCAGUACUUAUAUGAGCAGCCCGAGCGUGUGUGUGAACCCAGCUACUGGACAAUGCCAGGAUCCCGGACAGGAGGGGUGCUGCAGGACUACAGCAACUGGGCAGAGCAAGGAACUUCUCACCAGUUCCCCUUCACCCUAGAGAGCCAAGCUCGGCGACAGGGACUUGGAGAACAGACCGUACCAGAGAGAUUAGAGAGGGAUUGGCUGUCUAGAGAUGUGUACAGAGCACAGAGGGAG
This is a long non-coding RNA of Alosa alosa (allis shad), 434 nucleotides long. RefSeq lists it as uncharacterized. NCBI's taxonomy places the organism in Eukaryota, Metazoa, Chordata, Actinopteri, Clupeiformes, Clupeidae. The record is from RefSeq and is a predicted model, not a curated record. The transcript has 3 exons.